GGGGUAGUGGCGAAAUCGGUAGACGCAGCGGCCUUAAAAGCCGCAGUCCCCUGGGACGUGUGGGUUCGAGUCCCACCUACCCCAC
RNAcentral lists this transfer RNA (85 nucleotides) under Engelhardtia mirabilis. RNAcentral's name for it is "Planctomycetes bacterium Pla133 tRNA-Leu". It matches the Rfam family "tRNA". Rfam says of the family: Transfer RNA (tRNA) molecules are approximately 80 nucleotides in length. Their secondary structure includes four short double-helical elements and three loops (D, anti-codon, and T loops). Further hydrogen bonds mediate the characteristic L-shaped molecular structure. tRNAs have two regions of fundamental functional importance: the anti-codon, which is responsible for specific mRNA codon recognition, and the 3' end, to which the tRNAs corresponding amino acid is attached (by aminoacyl-tRNA synthetases). tRNAs cope with the degeneracy of the genetic code in two manners: having more than one tRNA (with a specific anti-codon) for a particular amino acid; and 'wobble' base-pairing, i.e. permitting non-standard base-pairing at the 3rd anti-codon position. The record is from RNAcentral. Lineage: Bacteria; Pseudomonadati; Planctomycetota; Planctomycetia.